Molecule: ribosomal RNA, 440 nt
Filed under: uncultured bacterium
Lineage: Bacteria
Description: partial 16S ribosomal RNA
Rfam family: Bacterial small subunit ribosomal RNA
Source: RNAcentral
CCUACGGGUGGCAGCAGUGGGGAAUAUUGCACAAUGGGGGAAACCCUGAUGCAGCGACGCCGCGUGAGUGAAGAAGUAUUUCGGUACGUAAAGCUCUAUCAGCAGGGAAGAAAAUGACGGUACCUGACUAAGAAGCCCCGGCUAACUACGUGCCAGCAGCCGCGGUAAUACGUAGGGGGCAAGCGUUAUCCGGAUUUACUGGGUGUAAAGGGAGCGUAGACGGCAGCGCAAGUCUGGAGUGAAAUCCCAUGGCUUAACCAUGGAACUGCUUUGGAAACUGUGCAGCUAGAGUGCAGGAGAGGUAAGCGGAAUUCCUAGUGUAGCGGUGAAAUGCGUAGAUAUUAGGAGGAACACCAGCGGCGAAGGCGGCUUACUGGACCGUGACUGACGUUGAGGCUCGAAAGCGUGGGGAGCAAACAGGAUUAGAUACCCUUGUAGUC